RNAcentral lists this long non-coding RNA (645 nucleotides) under Homo sapiens (human). Its description in RNAcentral is "HSALNT0091251". Lineage: Eukaryota; Metazoa; Chordata; Mammalia; Primates; Hominidae. The record is from RNAcentral.
UAGACCUUCAGUUUAUUUGGAAAUCUCUGUUAGGCCAUAUUUUAUGAUUCACUGGGCAAACAUAUCUUAUACACUGCAUGAGUCUUUGUAUUUGUGUGAAUAUUGACUUAUCCUUCAGCUUUUAAGGCACUAGUUGCAGGAACAGAGAUUUCUUUCUGCUAAAUGAAUCUUGACAGGUGAACUUUACAUUGUUUGAAGGCAUUUUAAUUCCUUCCAGAUAUACAUUAAUUUAUCUAGUUUAUUGACUGGAAGUUAUAAUUGAGUUGCAAAAUGAGAGCAACAUGUUCUUUUCCUUCUGACAGAUUCAUUUCCAUCGGAAUACAUCGUCUUCAACGACAGGUGACCAACCCACUAGGAACACUUAUAUAGGGCACUCAUCAUGAAUGGAGCUUGCAGUUCUGGAAGUCGCUCUUGGGUGAGUCAUUGAGUGAGUGGUGAGUGAAUGUGAAGGCCUAGGACAUUACUGUACACUAUUGCAGAUUAUAACCACUGUACACUUAUACUACACUAAAUUUAUUUUAAAAGUUUUUCUUUCUUUAAUAAUAAGUUAGCUUACUGUAACUUUUUUACUUCAUAAACUUUUUAGUUUUUUAAACUUUUUGACUCUUUUGUAAUAACAUUUAGCUUAAAAUGAGAACAUUCAGC